AGCGAACGCUGGCGGCGUGCUUAACACAUGCAAGUCGAGCGAAGGCGUUUCAAGGGUAACCUUGAGAUACACUUAGCGGCGGACGGGUGAGUAAUACGUGGAUAACUUACCUCUAGGCCUGGGAUAACCCCGGGAACGUAGGGGCGUAAUACCUGAUAAGACCACAUUGUCUACGGACGAAAGGGUAAAAGGUAGGCUGUGCAAACAAGCUAUCGCCAAAAGAAUAGGUUC
RNAcentral lists this ribosomal RNA (231 nucleotides) under uncultured bacterium. RNAcentral describes it as "partial 16S ribosomal RNA". It matches the Rfam family "Bacterial small subunit ribosomal RNA", at positions 29 to 232 of the family's 1533-position model. The record is from RNAcentral.